AACGAACGCUGGCGGCGCGUUUUAAGCAUGCAAGUCGAGCGGCAAGGGUAGCAAUACCCCUAGAGCGGCGGACGGGUGAGUAACACGUGGACAACCUGCCCUUAGGUGAGGGAUAGCCCAGGGAAACCUGGAUUAAUACCUUAUAAGACCACUGAUAGGAGUAUGAGUGGGGAAAGGUGCUACGGCGCCGCCUGAGGAUGGAUCUGCGUCCCAUUAGCUAGAUGGCAGGGUAAGGGCCUACCAUGGCGACGAUGGGUAGCCGGCCUGAGAGGGUGAACGGCCACACUGGAACUGAGAGACGGUCCAGACUCCUACGGGAGGCAGCAGCUAAGAAUCUUCCGCAAUGGGCGCAAGCCUGACGGAGCGACGCCGCGUGAACGAUGAAGGCCGCAAGGUUGUAAAGUUCUUUUCGGGAAGGAGAAUAAGGGGAGCAGGCAAUGGCUUUCCGAUGCCGUGAAUCCCGGAAUAAGCCCCGGCUAACUACGUG
RNAcentral lists this ribosomal RNA (487 nucleotides) under uncultured bacterium. RNAcentral's name for it is "bacterial SSU rRNA". It matches the Rfam family "Bacterial small subunit ribosomal RNA", at positions 29 to 507 of the family's 1533-position model. The record is from RNAcentral.